UAAAAAAUAAAAAACCAAGGGAAAAAAAAGACACGGAAAGUUAACCUAUUUCCUUCACUCUUUCUUUUCCUUUUCUGAUUACAAUGGAGUACAGAGGCAGCAAGAACAUUUGGUAGCUUCUACAAUGGAAUCGCUUGGGUCGUUUACGCUCUACUCAAAUACGAUCCCAUUGUCUUGAUGCUGAAUGGUGUGGGAGCACUUUUUGAGUUGAUACAGUUGAUUCUGUACGCCAAUUAUUGCUGCAUUUCGGCGCUGUCCGGCGAGGAGG
Molecule: non-coding RNA, 268 nt
Organism: Momordica charantia (bitter melon)
Lineage: Eukaryota; Viridiplantae; Streptophyta; Magnoliopsida; Cucurbitales; Cucurbitaceae
Source: RefSeq, a predicted model, not a curated record